UACGUAGGUGGCAAGCGUUAUCCGGAUUUAUUGGGCGUAAAGGGAACGCAGGCGGUCUUUUAAGUCUGAUGUGAAAGCCUUCGGCUUAACCGGAGUAGUGCAUUGGAAACUGGGAGACUUGAGUGCAGAAGAGGAGAGUGGAACUCCAUGUGUAGCGGUGAAAUGCGUAGAUAUCACGAAGAACUCCGAUUGCGAAGGCAGCUUACCAGUCUGCGACUGACGCUCAGGCACGAAAGUGUGGGUAUCGAACAGG
RNAcentral lists this ribosomal RNA (253 nucleotides) under uncultured Lactobacillus sp. Its description in RNAcentral is "partial 16S ribosomal RNA". It matches the Rfam family "Bacterial small subunit ribosomal RNA", at positions 524 to 776 of the family's 1533-position model. Lineage: Bacteria; Bacillati; Bacillota; Bacilli; Lactobacillales; Lactobacillaceae. The record is from RNAcentral.